GAUGAACGCUGGCGGCGUGCUUAACACAUGCAAGUCGAACGGAAAGGCUCCUGCUUGCAGGGGUACUCGAGUGGCGAACGGGUGAGUAACACGUGGGUGAUCUGCCCUGCACUUCGGGAUAAGCCUGGGAAACUGGGUCUAAUACCGGGUCGGACGAUGGUUUGGAUGCCAUUGUGGACAGUUUUUCGGUGUGGGAUGGGCUCGCGGCCUAUCAGCUUGUUGGUGGGGUAAUGGCCUACCAAGGCGUCGACGGGUAGCCGGCCUGAGGGGGUGUGCGGCCACAUUGGGACUGAGAUACGGCCCAGACUCCUACGGGAGGCAGCAGUAGGGAAUAUUGCACAAGGGCCGCAAGCGUGAUGCAGCGACGCCGCGUGGGGGAUGACGGCCUUCGGGUUGUAAACGCCUUUCGCUAGGGACGAAGCGCAAGUGACGGGACCUGGAGAAGAAGCACCGGCCAACUACGUG
This 465-nucleotide ribosomal RNA is filed under the name uncultured bacterium. Its description in RNAcentral is "partial 16S ribosomal RNA". It matches the Rfam family "Bacterial small subunit ribosomal RNA", at positions 28 to 507 of the family's 1533-position model. The record is from RNAcentral.